RNAcentral lists this ribosomal RNA (465 nucleotides) under uncultured bacterium. Its description in RNAcentral is "partial 16S ribosomal RNA". It matches the Rfam family "Bacterial small subunit ribosomal RNA", at positions 28 to 507 of the family's 1533-position model. The record is from RNAcentral.
GACGAACGCUGGCGGCGUGCUUAACACAUGCAAGUCGAACGGAAAGGCCCUGCUUGCAGGGUACUCGAGUGGCGAACGGGUGAGUAACACGUGGGUUAUCUGCCCUGCACUUCGGGAUAAGCCUGGGAAACUGGGUCUAAUACCGGAUAGGAGCCAUUUUUAGUGUGAUGGUUGGAAAGUUUUUUCGGUGUAGGAUGAGCUCGCGGCCUAUCAGCUUGUUGGUGGGGUAAUGGCCUACCAAGGCGGCGACGGGUAGCCGGCCUGAGAGGGUGGACAGCCACAUUGGGACUGAGAUACGGCCCAGACUCCUACGGGAGGCAGCAGUGGGGAAUAUUGCACAAUGGGCGCAAGCCUGAUGCAGCGACGCCGCGUGGGGGAUGACGGCCUUCGGGUUGUAAACUCCUUUCGCUAGGGACGAAGCGUUUUGUGACGGUACCUAGAGAAGAAGCACCGGCUAACUACGUG